This 756-nucleotide ribosomal RNA is filed under the name uncultured bacterium. Its description in RNAcentral is "bacterial SSU rRNA". It matches the Rfam family "Bacterial small subunit ribosomal RNA", at positions 8 to 796 of the family's 1533-position model. The record is from RNAcentral.
AGAGUUUGAUCCUGGCUCAGAAUCAACGCUGGCGGCGUGCCUAACACAUGCAAGUCGCACGAGAAAGUGGAGCAAUCCAUGAGUACAGUGGCGCACGGGUGAGUAACACGUGAAUGAUCUACCUCCGAGUGGGGAAUAACUUAGGGAAACCUGAGCUAAUACCGCAUAACACUUACGAGUCAAAGCAGCAAUGCGCUUGGAGAGGAGUUCGCGGCAGAUUAGUUAGUUGGCGGGGUAAUGGCCCACCAAGACGAUGAUCUGUAUCCGGCCUGAGAGGGCGCACGGACACACUGGAACUGAAACACGGUCCAGACUCCUACGGGAGGCAGCAGUGGGGAAUUUUGCGCAAUGGGGGAAACCCUGACGCAGCAACGCCGCGUGGAGGAUGAAAUCCCUUGGGAUGUAAACUCCUUUCGAUCGGGACGAUUAUGACGGUACCGGAAGAAGAAGCCCCGGCUAACUUCGUGCCAGCAGCCGCGGUAAUACGAGGGGAGCAAGCGUUGUUCGGAAUUAUUGGGCGUAAAGGGCGCGUAGGCGGUUUGACAAGUCUGAUGUGAAAUCUAUGGGCUCAACCCAUAGUCUGCAUUAGAAACUGUCGGGCUUGAGUAUGGGAGAGGUGAGUGGAAUUUCCGGUGUAGCGGUGAAAUGCGUAGAUAUCGGAAGGAACACCUGUGGCGAAAGCGGCUCACUGGACCAUAACUGACGCUGAGGCGCGAAAGCUAGGGGAGCAAACAGGAUUAGAUACCCUCGUAGUCC